RNAcentral lists this non-coding RNA (117 nucleotides) under Clostridiales bacterium. RNAcentral describes it as "Glycine sequence". It matches the Rfam family "Glycine riboswitch aptamer". Rfam says of the family: This family represents the bacterial glycine riboswitch. Glycine riboswitches usually consist of two metabolite-binding aptamers domains with similar structures in tandem. Lineage: Bacteria; Bacillati; Bacillota; Clostridia; Eubacteriales. The record is from RNAcentral.
AUGAAAAUAACGGGAGAUGCUUAUUAUAUUGAGGCUUCAAUCGUAAGAGCCGAAGGAGCAAUUUGAAAAAUGUCUAUUUUCAGAGAAACUUUCAGGCAAAAGUACCGUUAUUGGAUG